Molecule: ribosomal RNA, 639 nt
Filed under: Rinamba sp. IB07
Lineage: Eukaryota; Metazoa; Arthropoda; Insecta; Hymenoptera; Braconidae
Description: eukaryotic LSU rRNA
Rfam family: Eukaryotic large subunit ribosomal RNA
Source: RNAcentral
CCUGAGAAACCCAAAAGAUCGAAUGGGGAGAUUCAUCGUCAGCGCAUUUUGUAUAUGCAUAAGUUGUGAUGCGGGUGGAUUACUACUUGUAGUAUUACCUGCACAUUCUUGUGUAUUUAGUUGCAAGAUGUUGUCGGCGUGCACUUCUCCCCUAGUAGAACGUCGCGACCCGUUGGGUGUCGGUCUACGGCCCAAGUUGGGAGCCUUUAGUAUUGUUUUUAAAUAAUAUUAAAGACCCUUGGUGUAUCCCGACCGGCUACUCGGCGGUAUUCGUAAGGUAUUAAGCCGCAUUAUUAAUGCGUCCAUGCCCGUCGCAAGCGAGGCUAGUUUAUGGUAGUACGGACUUAGUGCCGUCGCUAUAUCUGGCCAGCUGUUGGUUGUUACGGUGUUCUAGGACUGGCUAAAAAUUUUGUACCGGUCAGCGAUGCUACUGCUUUGGGUACUUUCAGGACCCGUCUUGAAACACGGACCAGGAAGUCUAACAUGUGCGCGAGUCAUUGGGAUUUUUUAAAUGAAACCUAAAGGGGUAAAGAAAGUAAAGGUCGUCCUUGCGUCGACUAAGGGAGGAUGAGUUCUGUUAAGAUACAGCUUCGCACUCCCGGGUCGUCUCAUUCUCNNUAUGAGAAGAGGCGCACCUAG